This 8962-nucleotide long non-coding RNA is filed under the name Triticum aestivum (bread wheat). RNAcentral's name for it is "long non-coding RNA (TAES_LNC015112)". The record is from RNAcentral. Lineage: Eukaryota; Viridiplantae; Streptophyta; Magnoliopsida; Poales; Poaceae.
CCUCAAGCUAGUACCAUUCCACCACAAAUGUGCAGAGGCAUGCGUCAUCUAUGCAUGCCUGGUGCGGCCUUCCUCUUCGGUCUUAUCAUCCACCUGGCCGUCGGCGAAAUAUCCCAUCCUACCUGCUCAUUGUCAAGUAUAACCAUGCUUCCAACGCGACAUUAUCGUGAGUAAAAAUGCAUGCAGAACAUUACAAAUAUCAAAAUAUCUAAAUGUAUAGCUUUCAAAAGUAGGAUUUAAUAUAGCUUUCAACAGGAUUAAUCUGUAAUAUAAUCAAGCAUGGGCUAGAUUAUCAUUGAGAAAGCAUACUACAGAAGCAAGCUGAAGCUACCCGCUCUUAGGUCUAUAGUGUAUAUUGUACACCAUACAAGCAUAAUUUUGAGAUCAACGCUACAACUUUGUCAUGCAUCAGGGUAUGUUUGUUUUGAAAAGAACACAAGCUGUGUGGGCUGUUCUACAACUGAUCUAAUGACGACGUGAACAUAAAAAUGGCACGUGAUAUCUACAAUUGAUCCAAUGAACUAAAAUUGUCCCAUAAGCCACUUUUUCCACUGUUUGUCUCAUCCAACAACAACCUUUAUAAAAUAAGAAACCACACAACACAUAAAUUGAAAGACCUAAUAGAACAUGGAAGUGUUCCUAGCUCUAGCAACAUUGCCGACAUAUGCAUCUCAAGCAACAACAAACCAUGGCUCUUCUCCGUUUCUGAAGCAAGUUAAUUAAUAUGACAAAAUCAGAAAUAAAUCUAUAUUCUUUUCUAAUGGAUAUCAAUCUAUAAAUCUGAAUUAUAUUUGAGGCCACAAAGUGUAGCUUUUACCAUAACAAUACUGUACAUUUUGAGAAAACAAAUUGGGCUACUAAAUUAAUCAUGAGUAGAUCAUGAGAUUACUCGUCAAUUUUAGUGAGCCCAGCCACUCCUUACUUACACCUAUUCUUUUAAUCAACAUGCGCCUUUAAUUCCUCCAUGGCAGCAUACAACCACCAUCAUGCUACGUGGGGUUUAACACUCCCGCAGAAAUUAGAGCAAAACAAAAAAAGAACUAUGUUGCGCAUACUUUCACCUCAUCUACUCACUAUAAUAUCUAGAAUUUGGAGCUGAGAAUAUACCUGCAGACAAAUAAUAUAACAUUGAUGGGGAUCCCUAACAUCUCAACCAAUCUGUUAUCCUCCAGCUUGAGACUACUUGUAAAGUAACUUUCUGCACUAAAUCCCUCGCCUGUAACGAUAAAUGGUUGUAUUUGCAUUGUACAUUUUUCUAAGGCGGGUCAUGAAUCUGGAAGAUCUUUCAACAAAACAUUACACCUAAACAUUUCAUCUACAAGCCUGCUCGUCCCAACUUUACACCUAAACAUUUCUGUAUGUGGGUGUAUCACAUCCAUGCCCCGUCAUAUCUUGAAUGGGAAGUCAUAUGGCUAGAGAUCAAAGGGAUCAACACCUAAGGUUUUUAUUUCUUAAAUAAUCGGCCAAACCGCCAGCCAAUAUUGAUUUUUAGAAAGUAAAAGUUAAGCACAAUAUGAAUAUACAAAUGGAAAUUCUACACUUUAAAUGCGUACAUCAUCUUCUCAAGUGAAAUAAUAAAGACUCCCCUGUUCGUUAGAAAAAAGAAACUCCCAUGUCAAGGUAAUCUUCCUAGUACAACCACUUGUUGUGCUUCCUUUAAAGAAACUAAUAAGGACAAAUCGUCAUUAGGAACUUCGGAUAUCAACACAAAUCCUUAAUUUGGAUCGCUGUAAAAUAUAACCAAGGAUAUAAGCACCAAAGCUACAGUAGCAGUUAGCAUAUGCUGAAUCAUAAAGGAAGAGCCGAAGAGGAGAGCAUAGAAAAAAUAGCAUGUGGUCUUCAUAUGCUGAAAAUGAGAAUCAAUAACCAAGUAGAUUCAGAAUGGGGAUAGAUUCAGGCCUGAAAAGGUUGCAGUCUCUCUCCUUUGCUUUACUUCAUAGGUCAUUUUUUAUUAGAGGUUCCAGCUCUACACAGUACCUAUGCAAGUGCCUAAUCAGGAUACAUGUCACUGUUGAAACGCAAAACAAAAAACCAUAACAACCAUUGAACACAAACAAGAGAAGAGGAGAAAUCUUACACUUCGAUGAAAUAGAUAAUACACAUGCAUUAGUUACCUCACACUUGCUGAGCUUGAAGAAUUUGAUGAAGAUGAUGUCAGUGUACAUUGUACUUAUGGGAUUCCUUUGCAUCCAUGGACGCGCCAAAAAAGCUGCACAUAUUAAGGAAAAAAAGUGUUUGAUGACAACAAGUUAACAGCCACACAAAUCCAAGGCGGCGUAUAAUCUUCGUGUUUGGGCUUAUUGUGCUAAGGAUGCCGAAAAGCUGCAGGUGCAACAACGGGUGUAAAUUCAACACUGCCGCAUGUGUUUCUCCAUUGUCCACAAAUAUUAAAUUUCAAUAAUUUGCAUAAGCCCUGAACCUUCUGCAUUCCUUAAUUCAAUGUUCAGGUGAACAAAAUGAAUAUUGUAGUUUCCGCAAAAAAAAUUGAAUGGAGUGAAUGUUGCUACAGUCACAUUAGCCGAAGUAAUAGAUGAAUCUGUACUGUCCGUAUAAAUAAAUCUAUAGACUAUAAAAAAACUAAACGGUGAUACUCACCGACAGUACCUCUUUAGUAGUGAUGUCCAGCGUUGGAGGCAUGAUUUAUGUUAGUAGCAAGUGGUUAGUAGUCGAUGAGAGUACCAUGCAUGAUUGCAGUGCUCGAGAUGAAACUGCUCCUAGNNNNNNNNNNGUUGAUCAAAGUUACUGAGCAUGGCAAAAAAGUUCAUCGAGAGUUACCGGAGUGACACGGGCAUCUAGUGCGGAGACGAGGGGCUGAUAGUCUUGGUCCGGCCCAUGGAUGAUGUAGGAGAUUAACUCGUCGUCCUGGAUGGGUUUUCCCGCCGCGGCGAGUUCAUCGGCGAGACCCAUCAUGGCGGCGAAGAAGGUGGCCACCGAUUGAUUGCCCUUCUGCGCAUUGAUCAGCGUUGUCCGGAUGUUGUUGACGCGGCUGAGUGACUGUGACGAAAACAUGUUCGCCAGUGCCACCCAAAGAGCGCGCGCCGUGGUGAUCGUGGUCUCCGUGAUGAGCACUUCCUUGGAGAGGUGUUGGAGAAGAUAGCCGAGGACCUGCUGAUCCUCCUUCACCCAGAGCGGAUGAAGGGGAUUUGGCUCAGUGGUCUCCUUGCCGGCGGCGUCCUUGGUGGUGAGGACUUCGGCCGGCUCCGUUGCCGUGUCAUCAACAUAGUGGAAGAGGCCGGAUCCCCGCAGUUGUGGCCUGACCUAAGUCCGCCACAAAACAUAGUUGCCGCGGGUUAGCUUCUCCGGGGCUCCACCGCCGAGGGUCGACUGGAAGGAGGCGGAGGAGGAAGACAUGGCUGCGCGCACUUGAUGGACAUGGAUAAGCUAGGGUUUCUGGUGGAAGAAGGAGGCUCUGUAUACCAUGUGCGAUGCGGUAAACGUCUUGGCUUUCCUGGCCAGACGUGUUGCGUGUUAAAUAGCUGGGUUGCGAGCCCCGGAUAUGCGUACAGGUUGUUGGGAUACAUCUCUUGGAGAGAAAGAAAAUACUAGAGAUAAGAAAGAUAAAGAUUACAUAGUAUGCUAGCUAACUAACUACUCCACGGGAUGAUCUUGUACCGACGCAACUCCUUGACAUACACGCAAUAUCUCAUGUUUGACAGCCUCAAGCUAGUACCAUUCCACCACAAAUGUGCAGAGGCAUGCNNNNNNNNNNAACAACCAUUGAACACAAACAAGAGAAGAGGAGAAAUCUUACACUUCGAUGAAAUAGAUAAUACACAUGCAUUAGUUACCUCACACUUGCUGAGCUUGAAGAAUUUGAUGAAGAUGAUGUCAGUGUACAUUGUACUUAUGGGAUUCCUUUGCAUCCAUGGACGCGCCAAAAAAGCUGCACAUAUUAAGGAAAAAAAGUGUUUGAUGACAACAAGUUAACAGCCACACAAAUCCAAGGCGGCGUAUAAUCUUCGUGUUUGGGCUUAUUGUGCUAAGGAUGCCGAAAAGCUGCAGGUGCAACAACGGGUGUAAAUUCAACACUGCCGCAUGUGUUUCUCCAUUGUCCACAAAUAUUAAAUUUCAAUAAUUUGCAUAAGCCCUGAACCUUCUGCAUUCCUUAAUUCAAUGUUCAGGUGAACAAAAUGAAUAUUGUAGUUUCCGCAAAAAAAAUUGAAUGGAGUGAAUGUUGCUACAGUCACAUUAGCCGAAGUAAUAGAUGAAUCUGUACUGUCCGUAUAAAUAAAUCUAUAGACUAUAAAAAAACUAAACGGUGAUACUCACCGACAGUACCUCUUUAGUAGUGAUGUCCAGCGUUGGAGGCAUGAUUUAUGUUAGUAGCAAGUGGUUAGUAGUCGAUGAGAGUACCAUGCAUGAUUGCAGUGCUCGAGAUGAAACUGCUCCUAGCUAGUUGAACAUUCACACAGAAAGGACACGUUAUAUAUGACAUCUCAAGUGAGAAGACCAUGUAGCAGUGAUGUCCAGACGUGAAGGCAUAAUUUAUGUAGCGCCAACCUUAACGGCAGCACGUUUAGAGACAUGAUUUAGAUGAAGAGUGAGUCCAGCCAUGGAAGGAUAUCAUGCAAACGAAUCUAUAUGUAUACUUCUAUAUUACUAUUAAACAAUCGAACAAUUUCUUUCUUAACGCCACACAACAAUUGUACCCAGGUUGAUUAGCACCGCUAGAUUAAACCCACUGAAUAAAAUCUAAUGGUUAUGAUUAAUUUAAUCCCGAGUCAUGUGUGUAGUUAGCAAUUUAGAAUGACUGACCGUACUCCACCCGCAUAGGAAUAUUCCACAUGCCGUUUCCCAGUAAUCACGUUAUUCCAUCUGUUAAUUCCUCCCCUACCAAAAAUCUCUUCCAAUCAAAUAGGAGGCAUGCACGCCCGCCGCACGGAGUCAUCACCAACCUCCUCCACUCCUCUCGCUCCCCACGCCCACGCGAUGCCGCCUAGAUCAGAGGAAUUGGAGGCCGUCGCUCCGCCAUGUUCUGUUCAGGAGCCGAAACAACAAGCACCAAUGGCCGCUCCACAGCCGGCGGCCAACACAAGUGGGUUACACAUCUGCAUCAUCACAAAGCUCACCCCCUUGAUCAUAGCCGGAGAGAUGAGAGGGUAAAAGCAAGAUUUCCUUGCAGAGUAGGGCACCGGCAUUGGGAUGAAGAUCCGCAAAGGGAAAUUUUGUCUCAUCAAAAACAACAUCACGUGAGAUAUAUACCCUACCAGUGGAGAUGUCAAGACACUUGACACCUUUGUGUUGGGCGCUAUAGCCAAGAAAAGCACACCGUUUUGAGCGAAACAUGAGCUUGCGUUGAUUAUAAGGCCGAAGAGAGGUGUAAUCAGGUUUCGUGUGGAGGAGACGUUCCAUAGGUGUUUCAUUAUUUAUGAAACGACUAGGAAGCAUAUUGAUGAUGUGAACAGCUGUUAGAAAGCCCUCAUCCCAAAACUUGAGAGGCAUGGAGGCUCCUGCGAGGAGGGCCAAGCCAACCUCAACAAUGUGCCUAUGCUUGCGUUCGGCUGACCCGUUUUGUUGGUGAGCGUGUGGGCAUGAUACUUGGUGAGAUAUGCCUAUAUUUUGGAAGAAGGAAUUGAGUUUCUCGUAUUCCCCUCCCCAAUCGGAUUGGACAGCAAUGAUCUUACUGUCAAACUUUCUUUCAACGAGUGCUUGAAAGUUGUGGAAAACUUGAAACACAUCAGAUCUUUUUUUGAGAAGAUAGAUCCAUGAGAAUUUGCUAUAGUCAUCGAUAAAACUAACAUAGUACAUGUGUCUACCAACAGAGGAGGGGGCCGGUCCCCACACAUCAGAAAAGAUCAAUUGUAAGGGUUUAGUGGAGACACUAGUAGAUGACUUUUAGCACACUGACAUGAAUCACAAAUAGUUUCAACAUUGCGCUCACCAACAAACGGGAGCUUAUUUUUCCUAAGUAAUUUUUCAACCAAAGAAAACGAGGCAUGUCCUAAACGGUCAUGCCAUCGUGUGGACGAAAGCUUGAUAGCACCACAAGCUUGUUUAUUGAAUCUUCUAAACUCUGAAAUCAACGGGUAGAGCCCUCGAACACAUCUACCUCGAUAGAGAAUUUUCCUCGUGGCCUGAUCCUUGAUCAAAAAGAAGGAGGGAUGAAAUUCAAGAAAAACAUGAUUAUCAAUAGUAAUUCUAUGAACGGAGAGAAGAUUCUUAUGGGCACUAGAACAUGCAGGAUUCUUUUGAGAUGAAUUUUACGACUAGGGGUAUUAAAAAUUGAGUGGCCAAUGUGACUUAUACCCAUACCUUCACCACUGGACGUAUGAAUUUGAUCUUUGCCACGAUAUUUCUCCUUCAUGGUGACUUUCUCGAGUUCAUUGGUGAUGUGGUUGGUGGCACCACUGUCAACAUACCAGUUUGUGUCAAUUCCACAGGAGCCAUCGGCCGGCCGCCGCAGCAACUUUCUCUUCAUCUUGUGAGGAGUCGCCGUCAUCUUCUUCAUAGCGGUACCAACAGUCCUUUGCUGUAUGGCCAGGCUUGCCACAAAUUUGGCAGCGAGGCAAGUCCGGACGGGACCGGUUGGAACCACCACUGCCACCACCACGGCGCCCUUUGGAGUUAUCGGAGCGCCCGCCGCCGCGUGAAUUGUUGGAGUAGCCACUGCCGUUGGAGCUAAACCUCCCCUUGCUACGGGAAGAUGAACGCGAGCGAGAGCCACCACCGCGGCCUCUGGAUGCAGAGUUGGUCGAUGAUUUGAAGCCACCACCGGGACCAUGAUACUGUGCCAUGUGUUGAUCAAAGUUACUGAGCAUGGCAAAAAAGUUCAUCGAGAGUUACCGGAGUGACACGGGCAUCUAGUGCGGAGACGAGGGGCUGAUAGUCUUGGUCCGGCCCAUGGAUGAUGUAGGAGAUUAACUCGUCGUCCUGGAUGGGUUUUCCCGCCGCGGCGAGUUCAUCGGCGAGACCCAUCAUGGCGGCGAAGAAGGUGGCCACCGAUUGAUUGCCCUUCUGCGCAUUGAUCAGCGUUGUCCGGAUGUUGUUGACGCGGCUGAGUGACUGUGACGAAAACAUGUUCGCCAGUGCCACCCAAAGAGCGCGCGCCGUGGUGAUCGUGGUCUCCGUGAUGAGCACUUCCUUGGAGAGGUGUUGGAGAAGAUAGCCGAGGACCUGCUGAUCCUCCUUCACCCAGAGCGGAUGAAGGGGAUUUGGCUCAGUGGUCUCCUUGCCGGCGGCGUCCUUGGUGGUGAGGACUUCGGCCGGCUCCGUUGCCGUGUCAUCAACAUAGUGGAAGAGGCCGGAUCCCCGCAGUUGUGGCCUGACCUAAGUCCGCCACAAAACAUAGUUGCCGCGGGUUAGCUUCUCCGGGGCUCCACCGCCGAGGGUCGACUGGAAGGAGGCGGAGGAGGAAGACAUGGCUGCGCGCACUUGAUGGACAUGGAUAAGCUAGGGUUUCUGGUGGAAGAAGGAGGCUCUGUAUACCAUGUGCGAUGCGGUAAACGUCUUGGCUUUCCUGGCCAGACGUGUUGCGUGUUAAAUAGCUGGGUUGCGAGCCCCGGAUAUGCGUACAGGUUGUUGGGAUACAUCUCUUGGAGAGAAAGAAAAUACUAGAGAUAAGAAAGAUAAAGAUUACAUAGUAUGCUAGCUAACUAACUACUCCACGGGAUGAUCUUGUACCGACGCAACUCCUUGACAUACACGCAAUAUCUCAUGUUUGACAGCCUCAAGCUAGUACCAUUCCACCACAAAUGUGCAGAGGCAUGCAUCAUCUAUGCAUGCCUGGUGCGGGCUUCCUCUUCGGUCUUAUCAUCCACCUGGCCGUCGGCGAAAUAUCCCAUCCUACCUGCUCAUUGUCAAGUAUAACCACGCUUCCAACGCGACAUUAUCGUGAGUAAAAAUGCAUGCAGAACAUUACAAAUAUCAAAAUAUCUAAAUGUAUAGCUUUCAAAAGUAGGAUUUAAUAUAGCUUUCAACAGGAUUAAUCUGUAAUAUAAUCAAGCAUGGGCUAGAUUAUCAUUGAGAAAGCAUACUACAGAAGCAAGCUGAAGCUACCCGCUCUUAGGUCUAUAGUGUAUAUUGUACACCAUACAAGCAUAAUUUUGAGAUCAACGCUACAACUUUGUCAUGCAUCAGGGUAUGUUUGUUUUGAAAAGAACACAAGCUGUGUGGGCUGUUCUACAACUGAUCUAAUGACGACGUGAACAUAAAAAUGGCACGUGAUAUCUACAAUUGAUCCAAUGAACUAAAAUUGUCCCAUAAGCCACUUUUUCCACUGUUUGGCUCAUCCAACAACAACCUUUAUAAAAUAAGAAACCACACAACACAUAAAUUGAAAGACCUAAUAGAACAUGGAAGUGUUCCUAGCUCUAGCAACAUUGCCGACAUAUGCAUCUCAAGCAACAACAAACCAUGGCUCUUCUCCGUUUCUGAAGCAAGUUAAUUAAUAUGACAAAAUCAGAAAUAAAUCUAUAUUCUUUUCUAAUGGAUAUCAAUCUAUAAAUCUGAAUUAUAUUUGAGGCCACAAAGUGUAGCUUUUACCAUAACAAUACUGUACAUUUUGAGAAAACAAAUUGGGCUACUAAAUUAAUCAUGAGUAGAUCAUGAGAUUACUCGUCAAUUUUAGUGAGCCCAGCCACUCCUUACUUACACCUAUUCUUUUAAUCAACAUGCGCCUUUAAUUCCUCCAUGGCAGCAUACAACCACCAUCAUGCUACGUGGGGUUUAACACUCCCGCAGAAAUUAGAGCAAAACAAAAAAAAGAACUAUGUUGCGCAUACUUUCACCUCAUCUACUCACUAUAAUAUCUAGAAUUUGGAGCUGAGAAUAUACCUGCAGACAAAUAAUAUAACAUUGAUGGGGAUCCCUAACAUCUUAACCAAUCAGUUAUCCUCCAGCUUGAGACUACUUGUAAAGUAACUUUCUGCACUAAAUCCCUCGCCUGUAACGAUAAAUGGUUGUAUUUGCAUUGUACAUUUUUCUAAGGCGGGUCAUGAAUCUGGAAGAUCUUUCAACAAAACAU